This 1490-nucleotide ribosomal RNA is filed under the name Paraclostridium sordellii. Its description in RNAcentral is "Paeniclostridium sordellii 16S ribosomal RNA". It matches the Rfam family "Bacterial small subunit ribosomal RNA". Lineage: Bacteria; Bacillati; Bacillota; Clostridia; Peptostreptococcales; Peptostreptococcaceae. The record is from RNAcentral.
AGAGUUUGAUCCUGGCUCAGGAUGAACGCUGGCGGCGUGCCUAACACAUGCAAGUCGAGCGAACCCUUCGGGGUGAGCGGCGGACGGGUGAGUAACGCGUGGGUAACCUGCCCUGUACACACGGAUAACAUACCGAAAGGUAUGAUAAUACGGGAUGAAAUAUGAGAGUCGCAUGGCUUUUGUAUCAAAGCUCCGGCGGUACAGGAUGGACCCGCGUCUGAUUAGCUAGUUGGUAAGGUAACGGCUUACCAAGGCAACGAUCAGUAGCCGACCUGAGAGGGUGAUCGGCCACAUUGGAACUGAGACACGGUCCAAACUCCUACGGGAGGCAGCAGUGGGGAAUAUUGCACAAUGGGCGAAAGCCUGAUGCAGCAACGCCGCGUGAGCGAUGAAGGCCUUCGGGUCGUAAAGCUCUGUCCUCAAGGAAGAUAAUGACGGUACUUGAGGAGGAAGCCCCGGCUAACUACGUGCCAGCAGCCGCGGUAAUACGUAGGGGGCUAGCGUUAUCCGGAAUUACUGGGCGUAAAGGGUGCGUAGGCGGUCUUUCAAGCCAGAAGUGAAAGGCUACGGCUCAACCGUAGUAAGCUUUUGGAACUGUAGGACUUGAGUGCAGGAGAGGAGAGUGGAAUUCCUAGUGUAGCGGUGAAAUGCGUAGAUAUUAGGAGGAACACCAGUAGCGAAGGCGGCUCUCUGGACUGUAACUGACGCUGAGGCACGAAAGCGUGGGGAGCAAACAGGAUUAGAUACCCUGGUAGUCCACGCCGUAAACGAUGAGUACUAGGUGUCGGGGGUUACCCCCCUCGGUGCCGCAGCUAACGCAUUAAGUACUCCGCCUGGGAAGUACGCUCGCAAGAGUGAAACUCAAAGGAAUUGACGGGGACCCGCACAAGUAGCGGAGCAUGUGGUUUAAUUCGAAGCAACGCGAAGAACCUUACCUAAGCUUGACAUCCCAUUGACCUCUCCCUAAUCGGAGAUUUCCCUUCGGGGACAGUGGUGACAGGUGGUGCAUGGUUGUCGUCAGCUCGUGUCGUGAGAUGUUGGGUUAAGUCCCGCAACGAGCGCAACCCUUGCCUUUAGUUGCCAGCAUUAAGUUGGGCACUCUAGAGGGACUGCCGAGGAUAACUCGGAGGAAGGUGGGGAUGACGUCAAAUCAUCAUGCCCCUUAUGCUUAGGGCUACACACGUGCUACAAUGGGUGGUACAGAGGGUUGCCAAGCCGUGAGGUGGAGCUAAUCCCUUAAAGCCAUUCUCAGUUCGGAUUGUAGGCUGAAACUCGCCUACAUGAAGCUGGAGUUACUAGUAAUCGCAGAUCAGAAUGCUGCGGUGAAUGCGUUCCCGGGUCUUGUACACACCGCCCGUCACACCAUGGGAGUUGGGGGCGCCCGAAGCCGGUUAGCUAACCUUUUAGGAAGCGGCCGUCGAAGGUGAAACCAAUGACUGGGGUGAAGUCGUAACAAGGUAGCCGUAUCGGAAGGUGCGGCUGGAUCACCU